AGGUGGCACCAAAUGCCCACCAACCAAUGGGAGCCCUCCGCCAAGUGCCAAGGUAUCAUCCUCCGAUUCGCCUCUGCUCUCCGCCCCGCGUCCGCUUAAGCCGCACCAGCCCGCAGCCCGCCCACGGCAGCUCCUUUUAGCUGAGGAGCAAAGCUGCGCAGCGUGUUUGGACCCUGAUCGGCAAGUGGUCCUAGCAUCGGCUCAUCUUGCCAAAGGUCGCGUCCGCUUCGGUCGCUGGGUUCAUGGUCCUGGGGACUUAAAUACCUUGGCGAAAGGCUCCCGAAAAGGCAGACGACGGGUGUUGAGUCCGACCCACACGAGCGAAGGAUCGCUCGAGUUGCAGCGGCAGCGCUUCGCUCCCACCGGCAGCGGCAACCGCGGAUCAUCCGAGCAGCGGCAGCCGAACGCUUGUUAGCUGAGAGGGAGAGGAGAGAGUGAGCCUCGCUGGCCAUUAAAAGCGCAGAGAGCAUCCGCCAGAUCUCCCGAGAAAUAGCUUCGAGCAGAACGAGACCUCUUCCGAUGCCUGCCCAAUUAGCCCAGGAAGAGCUUCCCCUAGAUUUCUCCACCACCGCUGCCUUUGCUCACGUGGCCCAGAAUGGGGUGGCUAAGAUGGAGAAGGUCCAUCCCAUACAUGAGGACAUGGGGGCUCAGAGAGAGAUAGAUGACAUUUUUGAUGAGACCUAUCGUGAGAAAGAGGGCCCCAAGCCUGCCAAGAUAUACGUCUGGAGGAACAUCGUGCUCAUGGCCCUGCUCCACAUAUCUGCAGUGUACGCCAUAUGGCUCAUACCUGCAGCAAAACCUGUCACCUUGGUGUGGGUAAUUCUGUGCUUCAUCUUGAGUGGUCUAGGAAUCACAGCUGGAGCACACCGUCUUUGGAGUCACCGUUCUUACAAAGCCAGCUUGCCUCUUCGAAUAUUCUUAGUUAUUGUUAACUCCAUGUCUUUCCAGAAUGAUAUUUAUGAGUGGGCGAGAGAUCACCGUGUCCACCACAAAUUCUCCGAAACAGAUGCUGAUCCCCACAAUGCAAGUCGAGGCUUUUUCUUUUCUCAUAUUGGCUGGUUGUUGGUGCGCAAACACCCUGAUGUGAAAGAGAAAGGCCAGAAGCUGGAUCUCUCUGACCUGAAGGCUGACAAACUUGUGAUGUUCCAAAGAAGGUAUUAUAAGUCCUCUGUGGUGAUCAUGUGCUUCUUCCUACCUGCUUUUGUGCCUUGGUACUACUGGGGAGAAUCCUUUUACAAUAGCUUCUUACUGGCUGCAGUCCUCCGCUAUGCAGCAAUCCUCAAUGCCACCUGGCUGGUGAACAGUGCAGCUCAUAUGUAUGGCAACCGGCCAUAUGAUCAGCACAUCAACCCCAGAGAAAACCGCCUUGUCGUACUUGGAGCCUUAGGUGAAGGUUUCCACAACUACCACCAUACUUUCCCCUUUGAUUACUCCACCAGUGAAUUUGGUUGGCAGUGGAAUUUCACAACAGCUUUCAUUGAUCUUAUGUGCUACCUUGGCUUGGCCAGUGACCGCAAGAAAGUUGCCAAGGAGACCAUCUUGUCCCGGACAAUUCGGACUGGUGACGGUAGCUACAAGACUGGCUGAAGGUGGGUCUCUAAAUAAGGAUUCUGGGGCACCACUAACGGAGGAAGCUGAGGCAUUAGAACUGGAAGCACACACAGAUCCAGACAGCCCUCCAACAGGUGCAGAAGCACCUUCUACCAGAACACUGCAGACUAUUAUCAAGACCUACAGGCCAACUGAUGAGAAUACAGCUCUUCCUUUGUGAGAUUCCCAUCUUUUAAAUAGCAGGACUCCUGUGCCUUGUCAAGAUACCUACGAAAGGAUGCACUUAUGGGAAAGCUGCAUCUGCUACUCUGCUGUCUUGUCAUGCAGCUUUCAAAGACACAGAAGGUCUGUGAAGACAACAAAUGUCAGUGAGUC
Molecule: RNA transcript, 1926 nt
Organism: Rhineura floridana
Lineage: Eukaryota; Metazoa; Chordata; Lepidosauria; Squamata; Rhineuridae
Gene: SCD
Gene name: stearoyl-CoA desaturase
Exons: 8
Source: RefSeq, a predicted model, not a curated record